RNAcentral lists this ribosomal RNA (689 nucleotides) under uncultured Bacteroides sp. Its description in RNAcentral is "bacterial SSU rRNA". It matches the Rfam family "Bacterial small subunit ribosomal RNA", at positions 32 to 715 of the family's 1533-position model. Lineage: Bacteria; Pseudomonadati; Bacteroidota; Bacteroidia; Bacteroidales; Bacteroidaceae. The record is from RNAcentral.
AACGCUAGCUACAGGCUUAACACAUGCAAGUCGAGGGGCAUCAGGAACAAAGCUUGCUUUGUUUGCUGGCGACCGGCGCACGGGUGAGUAACGCGUAUCCGACCUACCCAUAACUCGGGCACAGCCGCUCGAAAGAGCGAUUGAUUCCCGAUAUGUCUUUGGAGUAGAUUCAAUGAUGAAAGAUUCAUCGGUUAUGGAUGGGGAUGCGUAAGAUUAGGUAGUAGGCGGGGUAACGGCCCACCUAGCCGACGAUCUUUAGGGGUUCUGAGAGGAAGGUCCCCCACACUGGUACUGAGACACGGACCAGACUCCUACGGGAGGCAGCAGUGAGGAAUAUUGGUCAAUGGGCGGAAGCCUGAACCAGCCAAGUAGCGUGAAGGAUUACAGCCCUACGGGUUUUAAACUUCUUUUAUAUAAGAGUAAUGUGCACUACGUGUAGUGUAUUGCAAGUAUUAUAUGAAUAAGCAUCGGCUAACUCCGUGCCAGCAGCCGCGGUAAUACGGAGGAUGCGAGCGUUAUCCGGAUUUAUUGGGUUUAAAGGGAGCGUAGGCGGGAUAUUAAGUCAGUCGUCAAAGCCUGUGGCUCAACCACAGCCCGCGAUUGAUACUGGUAACCUUGAGUGCGGAUGAGGUGGAUGGAAUUCGUGGUGUAGCGGUGAAAUGCUUAGAUAUCACGAAGAACUCCGAUUG